ACGGGGUACACCUAGCCGUGCGUUGCUUGUAAACAGUCGGCGAAGGUGUGGUGGAAAGGCAUUCGACGGAAUCGAUUGCCUAGUCUUUCUCCUAUGAUUCGGGAUGAGUUUCGGAGAUCAAUAUUCCCUGUUUACUUCCCCGAUGCUGAGAAAGAAAAGCUUCAGGAAAGGUUCCCGAAGCUAUGGCAGGUAGACCGUGCCGUGAGGGAAUACGAGCGGGAAUUCUCUCGUAUCAUGAGUUGUGUCCCGAACGUAGUGCGGGAUGAUGAGGAAUUGGCCGAUGUGCCUCUGCGGAGACCUUGGCCGGACGUGGUCGAGGUUGUGCAUGUAAGGAAGUGAAUUCUCGAAAUACGAGGAUUGGACUUUGUGUAGAACCGACCAGGGGUCGUGUUGGUAUGCUUCGGUGAGGCCGAAGAGGUCAAAAAUAUAAGAAGUGCAUUGUUGGCGGCCUUCGAGAGCAAGCUAGGAGGAAAACUGCAAAGUGCAGUUUUAGCUCUCGGGGACCGGUCCCUUGGGGAGAGACCGUUCCCCGUACGCGUGAAAGGGCAGAAAGGGGCUAAUUUUGAGAAAUCUUGCUCUCGGGGACCGGUCCCUUUAGCUGAUGGUUGCAGGGUUGCUUGAUGCAACCGGUCCCUGGGCCAGAGGGACCGGUCCCCUGUGCGCGAAAUCGACGAGAAGAGCAAAAUUGGCUAAGUCCCGAAAAUACAGCUCUCGGGAACCGGUCUAUCGUGCAGGAACCGAUCUCCCGAGGACCGGUCUCUUGGGCAGGGACCGGUCCCCGUAGCUCGAAAUUGCCCAGUUUGGGCAGUGCACAUUCUUGAGUGCAAUUGCAAUCCCGAACCUCGGAGGUGUCUUCUAUUAACUUCCUUGGGAUGCGGGAUGUAGAAGUCUCACUAGGCGCAGCAGUGUGUGCUGCGUGAUGAGAUGGGCAUUCGUGUGGGCGAUUGCCGGGUCAUGACGUGGGUGACGGCCUCUUCCUCUCCGAG
RNAcentral lists this long non-coding RNA (986 nucleotides) under Ananas comosus (pineapple). RNAcentral describes it as "long non-coding RNA (ACOM_LNC007014)". The record is from RNAcentral. Lineage: Eukaryota; Viridiplantae; Streptophyta; Magnoliopsida; Poales; Bromeliaceae.